RNAcentral lists this long non-coding RNA (1142 nucleotides) under Pogona vitticeps (central bearded dragon). RNAcentral describes it as "lncRNA (ENSPVIG00000014184.1)". The record is from RNAcentral. Lineage: Eukaryota; Metazoa; Chordata; Lepidosauria; Squamata; Agamidae.
AACUCACUCCAGUAAUGCCAUGCAGCCAAGACCAUAAACUUGACAAAAGCCAAAUAUUUGUUAUUAAAGACUGACCCAGCAGCUUGCGUUUUUAGACUCUCGUCAUGGGGUGGGGGGGGGUUUGUUACUAUAGGCACCACCUGCAAUUCCAGGUUUACCACCGGACCACUGCAUUUUCCAUGAACCCUAGGAUCCUUGCUGAUGUGCUUUAUGUUAAGCAGUGGGGAAGGGAAGCCAGCCUUGUGGCAUCAAGGUUCAGCUUACAAACACCCCUCCCAGUUUGGUUGACAUGCAGGGAGUAUCUAGCACAAAUACUUAUCACACAGUAAAUAUGAUGUCUCUUGUGGCUUUUUUUAAAGUACAGUUCACUACUUCCACAAUUACAGUACCACAUGUUGACGUGUGCCGCAAAAAGCAAAGAUCCUUGAGACACCCCUCCCAAAAAAAACCCAUUAUCAAAAAAUACUUGGAUAACAAGUAAUCCUUGACACAUGCAAAGCUCUGCAGUGUAGAUUAUGCCCAAGUGUUUUCAUUAAGCAAUCAUCUUGAUUUCCUUUGCUUCCUGGCAAUUAAUUACACCUAAAACUUGAUGUGUGAGACCAUGCCAAAAAUUAUUGAGAAACUAUUGGGUUGCUUUCAAGAUUAGAGGACAUAACCUACACCCUUGUCUGGAGAGGUCGGGGCACCAUCCCAGGCCUGAUUUGUUUCCAUAUACAGUACAAUUUUAUCUACUCACUAUAUAGUUUUUACAUCCUUUGGAGAGCAAAGGCUAUAGCAGAACUCAACUCCAGCCCUGCUUCACCAUUACCACGGAUGAAGUUCAGAAACUAUUUCCUCCCCCCCCCCUUAGUUCUUUACAGGAGGAGAUGGGGAUUUGGAUUGUUAUCCCAUUGGACCAAGUCCCUGCCAGGAUUGGACAUUCUUAAUCAACACAAGAAGGCCAAGGAUGGAGACUGCGAUCAAGGACAGUUCAUGCCUUCUAUCUGUACAUUCAAUUCUAUUAUCCCUAUUUGGACCUGUGAGCUAUCAAGGUCAGUUUUAUUUGUACAUUGCUUUCCCACAUGAAUGUUUCCAAAGCAGUUCACAAUCUUGGCAAUGAAUAACAAUAGAAAUUCACACAAUAAAAUGAUUAUAAAUGUCCA